Homo sapiens (human) is the source of this 352-nucleotide long non-coding RNA. RefSeq lists it as uncharacterized. The record is from RefSeq and is a predicted model, not a curated record. Lineage: Eukaryota; Metazoa; Chordata; Mammalia; Primates; Hominidae. The transcript has 4 exons.
AGUUGAUAAGUUAAGCCAAGGUCUCAGGACAGGGUCUUGCUCAAGGUGUCGGAAUCCCACUAAUGCUGUGUUCCAGCUACGAUUUUAAUCAAAGAAUUCUAUUCAGGACACCACAUUACAUUUAAUUGUGAUGUUUCCUUAGGCUUCUUUGGCUAUGACAGUUUCUCAAACUAAACUUUUUUUGAUGACCGUGACAACUUUGUGGAGAAUUGAUGAGCAAGAAGGCCCGUGCUAGAUGCUGGCACUUUGAUGUUGGACUUCCCAGCAUCCAGAACUCUGCAAGGUCACAAGACAGAUAAGCAUAAGCUGCAAACCAAGUUCUCACAGAGAUGUAAGACAUGUUCCAAAAGUG